Molecule: ribosomal RNA, 486 nt
Filed under: Tantilla melanocephala (black-headed snake)
Lineage: Eukaryota; Metazoa; Chordata; Lepidosauria; Squamata; Colubridae
Description: partial 16S ribosomal RNA
Rfam family: Bacterial large subunit ribosomal RNA
Source: RNAcentral
GCCUGCCCAGUGAACAAUUAAACGGCCGCGGUACCCUAACCGUGCAAAGGUAGCAUAAUCAUUUGUCUACUAAUUAUAGACCUGUAUGAAAGGCAAAAUGAGGGUCCAACUGUCUCUUAUAAUAAAUCAAUUAAACUGAUCUCCUAGUAAAAAAGCUAGAAUUCUAACACAAGACCAGAAGACCCUGUGAAGCUUAAACUAAACUAUUAAACCCUAUAAUAACUAAUUUCGGUUGGGGCGACCUUGGAAAAAAAAAGAACUUCCAACAUAUGAUUUUCCAAACACUAAAUCUUUAGGCCAACAAGCCACCUAACGACCCAGCUAAUGCUGAUAAACGAAACAGUUACUCCAGGGAUAACAGCGCAAUCUUCUUUAAGAGCCCAUAUCAAAAAGAAGGUUUACGACCUCGAUGUUGGAUCAGGACAUCCUAGUGGUGCAGAAGCUAUUAAGGGUUCGUUUGUUCAACGAUUAAUAGUCCUACGUGAU